RNAcentral lists this ribosomal RNA (404 nucleotides) under uncultured Paracoccaceae bacterium. RNAcentral's name for it is "bacterial SSU rRNA". It matches the Rfam family "Bacterial small subunit ribosomal RNA", at positions 378 to 774 of the family's 1533-position model. The record is from RNAcentral. Lineage: Bacteria; Pseudomonadati; Pseudomonadota; Alphaproteobacteria; Rhodobacterales; Paracoccaceae.
AAAGCCUGAUCCAGCCAUGCCGCGUGUGUGAAGAAGGUCUUCGGAUUGUAAAGCACUUUAAGUUGGGAGGAAGGGUUGUAGAUUAAUACUCUGCAAUUUUGACGUUACCGACAGAAUAAGCACCGGCUAACUUCGUGCCAGCAGCCGCGGUAAUACGAAGGGGGCUAGCGUUGUUCGGAAUCACUGGGCGUAAAGCUCACGUAGGCGGACUUUUAAGUCAGGGGUGAAAUCCCGGGGCUCAACCUCGGAACUGCCUUUGAUACUGGAAGUCUGGAGUCCGAGAGAGGUGAGUGGAACUCCGAGUGUAGAGGUGAAAUUCGUAGAUAUUCGGAAGAACACCACUGGCGAAGGCGGCUCACUGGCUCGGUACUGACGCUGAGGUGCGAAAGCGUGGGGAGCAAACA